RNAcentral lists this long non-coding RNA (2772 nucleotides) under Homo sapiens (human). Its description in RNAcentral is "non-protein coding lnc-PHOX2B-1:2". Lineage: Eukaryota; Metazoa; Chordata; Mammalia; Primates; Hominidae. The record is from RNAcentral.
CUCAAAGUUUUCAGUCUUGCAGAGAUUUGAGAUCCAUGUAAAAAGGCAGUAAAAACGUGACUUCACUUUGAGAAAUAGUCAUUCUUGAAUUUCACACUCCCUAUCUUCACUCCAAUUUUUUAAAAGAGUUUCUGACUGAUGAAUCUGCACUAAAAGGUCUUCUGCUGUCUAGGUGACCCACCAGAAGGACUGUACUCAUGAUGGAGAAUGAGGAAACAUUCCGAGGCAAGCCACUGGCCAUUUUCAGAUUUUCUAAACAGCGGCUAGGCAACAGCACCCCCUGCUGCCCCGCAAACUAACAUGCACCUUCCACAGUAGGAGGCCCGGAUGCAAGACGGGAAAGCAAGCAGGCUUCUCACUUACUAAGGCAGCAAAUAAUUUGUUAAGCGCAUAUUGUUACUAAGAUAUUGUAGAGGUGGGAGGUGGGGAAGAAUCCACAGAGAAGUGGAACCCUCAUUGUUGUCUCUCAAGGAACUUUCCAUUCAGUUGGGAACACAUAUGACGUAAUGAAACUCCUGAAUGUAGGGCGUGGAGACAUUGAUGAGUUGGUGCUCGAUCUGAGAAACAGUGGAGAGCCGCUCUCCACAUUUAACCAUCCCCAAAUGGUGCCAGUCGUCUAAAGACAUGCCUGAACAAGUGACAGUGUUUGACAGACCUUAUAUCUCCUUUCUAUCACACCAAAAUCUCUGUAGUGAGCUCAGGCAAUGUUUUGACCUGCUGGUGUGCUGAUGCACUUCAGGAUAAAAAGAAUUGGUCCACAUUGUAGCAAUAACUUCCAGGAAGAAACGAGUGGAUUGGACCAGAUUAUCUCUACAAUUUCUUCCAGUGCAAACACUCUGUGAAUGAAGGCACUUGCCUUCUCUCUAAACUGGAAGCCUCUUGAGGGCAGGACUGCAUCUACCUCCUCUCUGUACCCCUGCAGCACCCAGUACAGUGCCCAGCAAUGGACUGGAACCAAACCAGCAGAGCAAAACCAGGUGAGAGGAUACCUUGAGGACACCUUCAGCAACCCAUCUGAAACUAGAUAGCUGUCCUCUGAAAGGCAGCUUUUAUAUAACUAAGAUCACAUUGCAAUGAUGCCAAAUGUCUGAGAAACUCUUGGAAUUACACAAGGAAUUUAAAAAUAUGCAAUAUCAUUUGAAAACCAGCAGGAUACAGAGGGACAGGAGAAACAGAAAGGAAGACAGUAGAAAAGAGGAAGAGUUCCCCAAUCAAAUGCUAUUUAUUAGGAUUUCCCUCUUAUCCAGUAGUUAAAUGAAAUUUCUACAUCAAAGAAAAUCUCUGAGCACUCAGUAAUUUGUCUCUCCAGGGAACGGGAAUUCAGGCGGCUUUUAAAAAUAUCAUGGGGCCCAGCUAAUGUCCAGAAGUCAUCAUUAGAGAGCUGGAGUAGGUUAGAAGGAUGAAGUUUCGUUUGUCAGCCUCCUCCUGGUUCUCUGUAAGAGCCAUCAGUGGAUCCCGCCUAGAAGGGCUUAGCCCUCUUGAAGGGAAAGGCGCCAGCUUUGGAGCCCAGCGGUUGUCUGGUGGAUUUUAUUAUUAGAUUGGAGGUUCCACACAAUGUAAUUAAAGCCCUAUGGCCAUAGCGGCACCAAUGUCACAGGCCUGACUUUUUCUAUUGCAGCUGAUAAAUCUGCAGGCAGAUGGACAAUGUUCUCUUUCCUUUUGCCUCUGUGUGUGUGUAGGAAGAGAUGUGGAUGGACACAUCCCUCAAAAUCAUUUGGCAAGCACUAAUUCAGUUGAAAUGAUGCUUGGCAAGCUCUAGUCAUAACAAAGCAGCCUCAGAAAGGCCUGCUGACCUCUUGUACCUGUUUGGUGACUGACCGGGAGGGGUGGGAGAACAGGGAGAGAAAGGCCCAGCCUGGAAGUGCUCUCGGGGACUUUUCCUGUAAUGUGGUAAAGGAGUCAAAAAUUAUGACAAGCAAAGAGAAGCCAAACUCCAUUAAAAAAAGACAUUUUAGAUUAGGAAAAUAAAAUAAAAUAAAACUUUUGUGACAACCAAAUCAAAGACCACAGCAUUUCCUGGCAGUAUUUUUUUUUUUAAUGAACAAAAAUAGUAAUAAUGUCUAGCAAGAAUUGUACAUGUAUUAGCUACAUAAAAUCAAAACCAGGCUGGCAUGCUGGCAUUGCUGAACAGAAAAGACAGAAUUUUUUAUAAUCUUUAUUUUUAGUUAAUUUCUUCAUUCGCUAAAAUUGCCAGGUUGUUUUUUAAAAGUUGCUAGCCAAACUGCUUUGGCAUGCUAAUUAGAUAUAAAAACGAUGGACUCCGUGGAAGGGGAAAGAUGAGGAGGGAUCCAGGGCAGAUCUUCAAGGAGAGCCCAGAGAUAAAGGGCAGAACUUAAAGGAGCUAUUUUCAGUGACUUCCCUUAUCAACAAAUUCAUUAUGGAUACGUGGGAUGAAGGGUCAUGUUCAAAACAUGUAACAACUGAUAUGUCGUGGGCAUCAACAAGUCAGAAUAGCCCCCAGCUAGAAGCUACUAGAACGGUUGUACGUGAGCCCUGCCUGUGAUUAAGCCAUCAGCUCUGGGCUCUUGCUUUUAAAAGUUAAUAUCAUUUGUAAAGAAAAGGGGUAGAACACAGAAAAGAACAAGGGAAAGAAAAAUACCAGCACAGAAGCGAACAGCGUGGGAGUCCAUGUGUCUUCCGCUUUCAGCAUAACUCCCUGAUCCCGCUUCCCACCCAAACCUCCCUCGCCAGGGAAUGCUUGUCUUCUCCAAAUAUCACAUUUUCAUGUAACACCCUAAAGUAUAAGUACCAAUGCUUUAAAAAAGAUUAAAC